This 678-nucleotide ribosomal RNA is filed under the name Triticum aestivum (bread wheat). RNAcentral's name for it is "partial small subunit ribosomal RNA". Lineage: Eukaryota; Viridiplantae; Streptophyta; Magnoliopsida; Poales; Poaceae. The record is from RNAcentral.
AUGACGGCGUCAACACAGCGCUCCACAGUUGUGUCAGCUGCUACUCGUCAGGUUAUUCCUCCCGAUCUCCUCCCUUCUUGUAACCUCCAGUCCUCCUCGAUCUCACUCUCCUCCCUCUCCUCUGCGCCCGCCGACGUAGGCCGCGUCUCCGUGUCCUUGGCCAUGCCGGCGGCGGCAGCGAUGCGGUUUGGCGUCGGCGCCGACGGAGUUCUCCUUGCCCAUCAAUCCCGUGUCUGGACCAAGCACGACACCACCUCGGUGUUGAAUGCCGUGACAAUGCCCGCCCGGGCUCAAACCCCCCUCCCCCACGAGCUCCUCCUCGACGCGCCGCCACCCACGCUCAGACCUCGGCGCCACCCAUGGCCUCCGCCCACGCUCCCCGCCCUCUCCCCUCCCCUCCCCUUCCUAUCGAACCACCAGAUCGAGCGGCGGCCAGAUCCAUCCGCCACGGUCGCCCAGGGCUCGCGCGCCUCCUCCGACGCGGCUGUGCCCGUGCGUCAAGGGCCUGCUCGGAGAUGCUUCUACUCCGCCAUGGCCAUGGAGCUUCCUCCCAAUCCAAGGUCUUGGACUGGACGGGGACGGCUGCUCUUCGAAAGUCUCGUCUCUUCUCUUCCGAUCCAUCCAUCCCACACCCCAUUCUAUUUGCAUAUCUGUAGAUACAUAUUCAGAUCAAACUGA